GACUACAAGGGUAUCUAAUCCUGUUCGCUCCCCACGCUUUCGAGCCUCAACGUCAGUCACUGUCCAGUAAGCCGCCUUCGCCACCGGUGUUCCUCCUGAUAUCUACGCAUUUCACCGCUACACCAGGAAUUCCGCUUACCUCUCCAGCACUCCAGCCUCGCAGUUUCCAAAGCGGUUCCGCGGUUGAGCCACGGGCUUUCACUUCAGACUUGCGCCGCCGUCUACGCUCCCUUUACACCCAGUAAAUCCGGAUAACGCUCGCCCCCUACGUAUUACCGCGGCUGCUGGCACGUAGUUAGCCGGGGCUUCUUAGUCGGGUACCGUCCUCUUUCUUCCCCGCUGAUAGAGCUUUACAUACCGAGAUACUUCCUCACUCACGCGGCGUUGCUGCGUCAGGGUUUCCCCCAUUGCGCAAUAUUCCCCACUGCUGCCUCCCGUAGUC
RNAcentral lists this ribosomal RNA (442 nucleotides) under uncultured bacterium. Its description in RNAcentral is "partial 16S ribosomal RNA". The record is from RNAcentral.